GACGAACGCUGGCGGCGUGCUUAACACAUGCAAGUCGAACGGUGAACCGGAGCUUGCUCUGGGGAUCAGUGGCGAACGGGUGAGUAACACGUGGGCAACCUGCCCCUCACAUUGGGAUAACCCCGGGAAACCGGAGCUAAUACCAAAUAUGACCUUGAUAAGCAUCUAUCGAGGUGUAAAGGAUUCUGGUGAGGGAUGGGCCCGCGGCCUAUCAGUUAGUUGGUGAGGUAACGGCUCACCAAGGCGACGACGGGUAGCCGGCCUGAGAGGGCGAUCGGCCACACUGGGACUGAGACACGGCCCAG
Molecule: ribosomal RNA, 305 nt
Filed under: uncultured bacterium
Lineage: Bacteria
Description: bacterial SSU rRNA
Rfam family: Bacterial small subunit ribosomal RNA
Source: RNAcentral